GCUGUGAUGGCCGAGAGGUUAAGGCGCUGGACACGAAAUCCAAUGGGAUCUCCCCGCGCAGGUUCGAACCCUGCUCGCAGCG
Molecule: non-coding RNA, 82 nt
Organism: Salmo salar (Atlantic salmon)
Lineage: Eukaryota; Metazoa; Chordata; Actinopteri; Salmoniformes; Salmonidae
Source: Rfam